GGUUGUGUAGUGUAGUGGUUAGCACAUUGGAUUUUGAAGAGUUCCUCCUCAGCCUUCCAAUAACCCCGGUUCGAAUCCGGGCACGACCU
RNAcentral lists this transfer RNA (89 nucleotides) under Thermochaetoides thermophila DSM 1495. RNAcentral describes it as "Chaetomium thermophilum var. thermophilum DSM 1495 tRNA". It matches the Rfam family "tRNA". Rfam says of the family: Transfer RNA (tRNA) molecules are approximately 80 nucleotides in length. Their secondary structure includes four short double-helical elements and three loops (D, anti-codon, and T loops). Lineage: Eukaryota; Fungi; Ascomycota; Sordariomycetes; Sordariales; Chaetomiaceae. The record is from Rfam by way of RNAcentral.